GUUGGUGGAUAUAAUUGUACUUAAUGUGUAUUGUGAAUUUAAAAUAAAUUCAAUUAUUAGAUCAAAGUAUAUAAAUUUUUUUGUGGAAUGAGGUCUCAAAAAUUGGAAUUUUAGAGUUUGUAACUACUUUUGAGAUCUUUAGCAAUUUGUUGAUUGAAUUGAAAUGAAUUUUUUUUUAUAUAAAGACUAGACUUGAUUUUAAAUAGUUUAAGUAAAUUUGGAAGAAAAUCAAUGGUUCAAAUAAGAGGUAUUGGUACUCGAAGUUUAAC
This 269-nucleotide long non-coding RNA is filed under the name Physcomitrium patens. Its description in RNAcentral is "long non-coding RNA (PPAT_LNC014042)". The record is from RNAcentral. Lineage: Eukaryota; Viridiplantae; Streptophyta; Bryopsida; Funariales; Funariaceae.